This is a small nuclear RNA of Zalophus californianus (California sea lion), 107 nucleotides long. Lineage: Eukaryota; Metazoa; Chordata; Mammalia; Carnivora; Otariidae. The record is from Ensembl.
GUGUUUGCCUCUGCAGUACAUAUACUAAAAUUGAAGGAAUACAGAGAAGCUAACAUGGUCCCUGUGCAAAGAUAGACAUACAGGCUCAUAAUGUGCUCCAUAUUUUU